UUUCAGGGUUGAAGGACUAUAACUCCCAAGAUGUGCUGGGGCGCUGGGUGCUCUUUGUGGUUCACUGUCUUCGGCUGAGAUUUUGUGGCUCUGUUUUCUUUACCCCAUUCCCAUUCAGUCGCUUUGUUGUCGUUUCCUAGGAGCCGUUUGGUUGUUACUGUAUCUCGCAGUGUUUUUAGGGAGUCUGCGCUCAGUGCGACCAUUAGCCAACUUAGUACUUUGCAGCUGGACAGAUCUGCAGUGCCUGAUGCUGCUGGGCAGUGAGCUCUGGAAAAGGGAGAGAUGUCCUACAGCUGCUCCUCUGGUUGGGCACUGUCUUUGGUAACACUAGCCUAUGGAGCGAGAGAGCUCGGAGAGAAAGGGAGUAGCAGACUCACUUGCUGAGCAGAGAGCCCGACCUGGGACUUGAUCCCAGGAUCCUGAAACCAUGACCUGAGAAGAUGCUUAACUGACUGUGCUACCUAGUUGUCCUGGCUUCUUGUUUUUAAUAACAGUUUAAUAGUUUGAAAG
This 510-nucleotide long non-coding RNA is filed under the name Mustela putorius furo (domestic ferret). RNAcentral's name for it is "lncRNA (ENSMPUG00000029371.1)". Lineage: Eukaryota; Metazoa; Chordata; Mammalia; Carnivora; Mustelidae. The record is from RNAcentral.